RNAcentral lists this long non-coding RNA (205 nucleotides) under Medicago truncatula (barrel medic). Its description in RNAcentral is "long non-coding RNA (MTRU_LNC004446)". The record is from RNAcentral. Lineage: Eukaryota; Viridiplantae; Streptophyta; Magnoliopsida; Fabales; Fabaceae.
UGCAAGGUAAUAACCGACAUUUUUCCAGUUAUCAAGUGCACACAGGGUUUUAUACCACUCCAUGCUUCUUCAGGUAUGAUAUCCUUAAUUAACAAUGAAUAACUCAUAUUCAAGGCAUAAGUUGCCCAUUUCAUUGCUUCCGACCAAAACUUAUUUGACACAUUUUUGCGUGACACCAUACUUCUCACAAGAGAUGUGUUAUUUG